UACGUAGGGUGCAAGCGUUGUCCGGAAUUACUGGGCGUAAAGGGCUCGUAGGCGGUUUGUCGCGUCGACUGUGAAAACUGGGGGCUUAACUCUCAGCUUGCAGUUGAUACGGGCAGACUUGAGUUCGGUAGGGGAGAGUGGAAUUCCUGGUGUAGCGGUGAAAUGCGCAGAUAUCAGGAGGAACACCGGUGGCGAAGGCGGGUCUCUGGGCCGGUACUGACGCUGAGGCGCGAAAGCGUGGGGAGCGAACAGG
RNAcentral lists this ribosomal RNA (253 nucleotides) under uncultured bacterium. RNAcentral's name for it is "partial 16S ribosomal RNA". It matches the Rfam family "Bacterial small subunit ribosomal RNA", at positions 524 to 776 of the family's 1533-position model. The record is from RNAcentral.